UGGGGAAUAUUGCACAAUGGGCGAAAGCCUGAUGCAGCAACGCCGCGUGAGUGAUGAAGGCCUUCGGGUUGUAAAGCUCUGUCUUUUGGGACGGUAAUGACGGUACCAAAGGAGGAAGCCACGGCUAACUACGUGCCAGCAGCCGCGGUAAUACGUAGGUGGCGAGCGUUGUUCGGAUUUACUGGGCGUAAAGGGCGCGUAGGCGGCGCGGUAAGUCACUUGUGAAAUCUCUGAGCUUAACUCAGAACGGCCAAGUGAUACUGCUGUGCUAGAGUGCGGAAGAGGCAACCGGAAUUCUUGGUGUAGCGGUGAAAUGCGUAGAUAUCAAGAGGAACACCUGAGGCGAAGGCGGGUUGCUGGGCCGACACUGACGCUGAUGCGCGAAAGCCAGGGGAGCAAACG
This 402-nucleotide ribosomal RNA is filed under the name uncultured bacterium. RNAcentral's name for it is "bacterial SSU rRNA". It matches the Rfam family "Bacterial small subunit ribosomal RNA", at positions 355 to 774 of the family's 1533-position model. The record is from RNAcentral.